AUACGGAGGUUGCAAGCGUUAUUCGGAAUCACUGGGCGUAAUGGACGCGUAGGCGGGUUGGCAAGUCAGAUGUGAAAUCCUACAGCUUAACUGUAGAACUGCAUUUGAAACUGCUAACCUAGAGUAUGGGAGGGGGAGAUGGAAUUAGUGGUGUAGGGGUAAAAUCCGUAGAUAUCACUAGGAAUACCGAAAGCGAAGGCGAUCUCCUGGAACAUAACUGACGCUAAGGCGUGAAAGCGUGGGGAGCAAACAGGAUUAGAAACCCCAGUAGUCC
This 274-nucleotide ribosomal RNA is filed under the name uncultured bacterium. RNAcentral's name for it is "partial 16S ribosomal RNA". It matches the Rfam family "Bacterial small subunit ribosomal RNA", at positions 523 to 796 of the family's 1533-position model. The record is from RNAcentral.